RNAcentral lists this ribosomal RNA (558 nucleotides) under Acrophialophora nainiana. RNAcentral describes it as "LSU rRNA". It matches the Rfam family "Eukaryotic large subunit ribosomal RNA", at positions 39 to 627 of the family's 3401-position model. Lineage: Eukaryota; Fungi; Ascomycota; Sordariomycetes; Sordariales; Chaetomiaceae. The record is from RNAcentral.
AAUGCUCGUAGCGGAGGAUAUGAACCAACAGGGAUUGCCCUAGUACGGCGAGUGAAGCGGCAACAGCUCAAAUUUGAAAUCUGGCUUCGGCCCGAGUUGUAAUUUGCAGAGGAAGCUUUAGGCGCGGCACCUCCUGAGUCCCCUGGAACGGGGCGCCACAGAGGGUGAGAGCCCCGUAUAGUUGGAUGCCUAGCCUGUGUAAAGCUCCUUCGACGAGUCGAGUAGUUUGGGAAUGCUGCUCAAAAUGGGAGGUAAAUUUCUUCUAAAGCUAAAUACCGGCCAGAGACCGAUAGCGCACAAGUAGAGUGAUCGAAAGAUGAAAAGCACUUUGAAAAGAGGGUUAAAUAGCACGUGAAAUUGUUGAAAGGGAAGCGCUUGUGACCAGACUUGCGCCGGGCUGAUCAUCCGGUGUUCUCACCGGUGCACUCUGCCCGGCUCAGGCCAGCAUCGGUUCUCGCGGGGGGAUAAAGGCCCUGGGAACGUAGCUCCUCCGGGAGUGUUAUAGCCCGGGGCGUAAUGCCCUCGCGGGGACCGAGGUGCGCGCUCUGCAAGGAUGCU